GCGGCAGUAGCUCAGUUGGUAGAGCACUUCUGUAUGGCAUCGUAAAAGCGUGUAAGGAACCAUACAGAUGUUGUCGGAGGUUCAAAUCCUCCCUGUCGUA
RNAcentral lists this transfer RNA (100 nucleotides) under Clostridiales bacterium. RNAcentral's name for it is "tRNA-OTHER". It matches the Rfam family "tRNA". Rfam says of the family: Transfer RNA (tRNA) molecules are approximately 80 nucleotides in length. Their secondary structure includes four short double-helical elements and three loops (D, anti-codon, and T loops). Further hydrogen bonds mediate the characteristic L-shaped molecular structure. tRNAs have two regions of fundamental functional importance: the anti-codon, which is responsible for specific mRNA codon recognition, and the 3' end, to which the tRNAs corresponding amino acid is attached (by aminoacyl-tRNA synthetases). tRNAs cope with the degeneracy of the genetic code in two manners: having more than one tRNA (with a specific anti-codon) for a particular amino acid; and 'wobble' base-pairing, i.e. permitting non-standard base-pairing at the 3rd anti-codon position. The record is from RNAcentral. Lineage: Bacteria; Bacillati; Bacillota; Clostridia; Eubacteriales.